This is a long non-coding RNA of Bos taurus (domestic cattle), 4636 nucleotides long. NCBI's taxonomy places the organism in Eukaryota, Metazoa, Chordata, Mammalia, Artiodactyla, Bovidae. The record is from Ensembl.
CCAGGGGCUUGCUGUCUUAACCCUAAUCCCUGUCACGGCUGCUUCAUGGCACCAGUAGCUCCUCCCUAUCCCGAGCUCAUUUGAGCCUCACCACUAUAAUUAAAAGACGCUUACUCCUUGAAAGGAAAGUUAUGAUCAACCUAGACAGCAUUACUAAAAAGCAGAGACAUUACUUUGCCAACAAAGGUCUGUCUAGUCAAGGCUAUGGUUUUUCCAGUGGUCAUGUAUGGAUGGGAGAGUUGGACUAUAAAGAAAGCUGAGCACUGAAAAAUCAAUGCUUUUGAACUGUGGUGUUGGAGAAGACUCUUGAGAGUCUCUUGGACUGCAAGGAGAUCCAACCAGUCCAUCCUAAAGGAAAUCAGUCCUGGGUGUUCAUUGGAAGGACUGAUGUUGAAGCUGAAACUCCAAUACUUAGGCCACCUGAUGCGAAGAGCUGACUCAUUGGAAAAGACCCUGAUGCUGGGAAAGAUUGAGGGCAGGAGGAGAAGGGGAUGACAGAGGAUGAGAUGGUUGGAUGGCAUCACCAACUCAAUGGACAUGGGUUUGAGUGGACUCUGGGAGUUGGUGAUGGACAGAGAGGCCUGGCGUGCUGCGGUUCAUGGGGUCGCAAAGAGUCGGACACGACUGAGCGACUGAACUGAACUAUGAGAGGGUGUCCUACUAUUGGACUGAGUUUAUGGAUGAGAAACUGAGGCCCAGAAGGGCAAGUCAUUAGGCUCACUGUUGCUGCUGUUUAGUCACUAAGUUGUGUCUGACUCUUUUGCGUCCCCAAGGACUGUAGCCCCCCAAGCUCCUCUGUCCAUGGGAUUCUCCAGGCAAGCAUACUGGAAUGGGUUACCAUUCCCUUCUCCAAGGGAUCUUCCCCACCCAGGGAUCGAACCUGCAUUUCCUCCAUUGGCAAUCGGAUUCUUUACCUCUGAGUCACCUGGGAAGUCCAUUAACCUCAGGCACUCAGCUGGAGUGCCUGGAUCCAGAGGCAGUACAACCAGCCUUCGCCAGUCAGAGCUCUUGUUCUUGCUAAGCCCACCACAUCCCAUCCGUCUAGGAGGAAAAGCCCACACCCUCCCCACCAGGUCCUGCCCUGUCUCCUCCCAGCCGGCCCCCCUCCCGCUCCCCUCUCCCUCACUCUGCUCCCGCCACAUGGGCCUCAUUACUGUUCCUCCCACACUAGGCAUGGCCCUGCCUCAGGGCCUUUGCACUGCAUGUUCCCUCUGCCUGGAACGCUCUUCCCCCCAUCAUCACUCACCUGGACCAGCGCAGUUGCCUCCACCCUCAGGUCCUGGCUCCCAAACUCAGCCCCCACAGUCGGGCCUCCAGAAGCAGCCACGAGAGGGCGCCUGUGAGCACCUGAGUCAGGCCUCGCCCCUCCUCUGCGCACAGCCCUCCAGGGUCCCGCCUCCCUCAGUGUAAAAGCCCAAGUUCUCCCCUCCGCCCCGGCUUCUACACGACCUCCCCAAAGGGCAAUGAGAUCCGCGGACCGCUGUGGCCUUCCGAAGUGGCCUGGCCGAGCCAGGCUUUGCAAACCAGCUCCAUCUGGCUCCAUGCCUUCUGGGCUUCUCCCCCUUGGCCAGCCGCCUCCCAACCUCUAAUAAACUCCGAGAAGUGCUGGGUAGCCGCGACAGUGAGGACACUCUUUAUCUGUCCAGAUCAGGCCGGCUCGGUGCAGCAGUCAAUAAUUAAUUCUGAAUUUCCCCCAUUUAUCAAAGUGGCAGGAGCCAGAGUGCGUGGAAUCCCAAUCCCCAGGCUCUGUGCCCUGCAGCCACCUGGAGCUAGACCCAGUGGUGGCAGAAACCAGGGCGGGGGACCCUUAUGGAGCCUGAGAAGGGAGGGUGUCCUUGGCUCCCACUCCCUUACUCUGGGUUAUUAAAUGCUGCACAAUCCAGCAGUGACCAGACCAGACCUCAUCCCAGCCUUCUUGGUGCCCAGAGGCUAGUGGGGAAAAUAACACAUUGAAUGAAUAAUAAUAUAAAUAAUUAAUGCUACAAAGGAAGAGAACAGGAUACUUUGUGAAUGCAAAACCAAGGGGACGUGGUUGUUCAGAGCUUCCCCAAGGAAGUGAUAUUGAACCCGCAAAGCGGAGAGUGAAAGGGGAGAGGUGGGAGAGGGUCUUCCAAAUACAGAAACAGCACAUGCAAAGGUCCUGUGGCCAGAAAGAGUUUCUCCCACUCAGAGGUCAGCAAGGUGGUUAAGUGGGACUGGAGCCCACAGCACAAGCGUGAGGUCAGUGCCAGAAAGAGUUUCUCCCACUCAGAGGUCAGCAAGGUGGUUAAGUGGGACUGGAGCCCACAGCACAAGCGUGAGGUCAGUGCCAGGUCUGGAGCCAUCACGGUGAGGCCAACAGCAGCCAGGGGCCAUCAGGGGAAGAGGUGGGAAGUUUCUCAGAUGUUCCAGGGGAUGGCAGUGAGGCUGCUUCCACCCCAGGUGAGUCAGACAGCAGCCUGGGCAGGUGACUGUGACUUUUUGUUUUCUUUUUUCUUAGAACUGUUUUUCCGUUAGAGGAUUCUUUCAAACCCUUUUUGGCUUGGGGAUGAGUCAGGAUCUCUCUGCCUACAGAUAGCCCAGACCGUGCAAGCAGUCUGGCCCAGCCACCUUAAACACCUCCCUCCCUCCUUGGGCAGGUUUGGAGACUGAGGCCCACAGAGGAACAAGGACCACCCAAGGUCAUUCAGAAGAGGGCUGGGGGGAAGCUCAGAGGAGGGGUUUCCAGGGUCCCAGGAGCACCGCCCUGUGGCUUCUGUCUCCUCUGCUGGAUCUAUAACUCCAAGACGGCCAACAGCUGGGUGUCCCGGUCACCAUGCUGUCCUCAGUGCCUGCAAACAGGAGGUGCUUCAUCCACAAUUACAGAAUGGGCAGUCCCAGCAGCUUUUGGAAACACCCCAGAGGUUGCGCUCAGAGGAUCGGCAGGAAAGGGUAUCCUUUCUGAGAGUGGAUACGAGAGACAGAUACAGGAAUAUGGAGAGAGAAAGAGACAGAGAAACUGCCAGAGACAUGGAGAGAGAGAGAGACAGCAAUGGAGACAGAUAGACUUGGAAUGAGACAGUGGAGAAGCAGAGAUCAAGAGACACAGAGAAAGAAGUGAUAAAUGGGAGGCAGAUACGUGCAGAAGAGACUGAGUGGAUGGACACACAGGUUGGGGGCAGGCAGGGAGGCAGCAGGGUCAGGACCACCACUCAGUGGUAUAGGACACUGUGUGAAUUUCAAAAAGAUUCCCCUUCCUGAGACCCUCUGACCCCAGCUGGAUGUUUUUGUGCAGUGAACAGCCUGCCCCGCCAUCUAAGGCAGCCAAAGCAAGCUCUGUGUUGGUAUCUCCAGCAGCCAGCACCAGACCAGGCACACAGAGCACGCUCAACAUAUGCCCGUUGAAGUAAUGGACAAAGUUAGAUAAUGCCAGAAUCCAGUCUGGAGUCCCAGAGAGAGAAGGGAAGGGAGGAAGGCAGAGCAAAACCGAAGUGGGAAGUCCGGGCACCUGAAGUUUCUGGCUGAGCCACAGAUGCCUCCUCUGGGAACCACCUGGGUUUACCUGCCACCCAGGAAAAUUCCCCUCCAACUUCUGAGAGCACAAAGUGAGUGGGCAGCCAAGGCGGGAGGUGGCCCCUCCCCGGGACGCCGCGGGCCCCAGCGAGAGAUGGUAACUGCCAAGUCUCACCCGAAACUCCUCACAGCCCAGACUUGCUUCUGGGGUGGAGCCAGGAACCUGAGAGGCCCUGAGGCGGGGACCAGGCGUCCCCUAUUUUCACAGCCCAGAGAUGGGAGGGGGCUGGCUUGGGGUCACCCAGAAUAGGAGUCAAGGGAAAAGCAUUCCUGGAGAUGAGUAAAGAGGGAAGAGGAAAGGACGUGCUUAGGGCUGAACUGUCAAUGGAAGGUGAAGCUCAAGGCCAAGUUAGGGAGAUUGAACUUGGCCGUGUGUCCAAACACUUAAUCUGUUAUUCUAUACACACUCAAUUCGGUCCCUCUGUACCUAGUUCCAGCCUGAGUGAUCCUGGGUGACUUAGAGGGGACUCCUAAGACUGGGAGGACAAACAGACCUCCCUGUUCUGUGGGUCAGGAGUGAGCCAGGCGGGCUGGAGGCUUAGGACCCAGAGGCCAACUGGGAGAGGGCUGCUGAACCCGAUGGAGAUUGGGAGUUAGUGCCAGGACCUUGAAAAUGUAGGACUACGUCAGGUGAAAAAGACCCGAAAGCACUUCCUGGGCAGAAAAUACAAGUCUGGAGGUGUGUAUAAAUCAGACAAGUGUUCGACUUCCCUGGUGGUACAGUGGAUAAGAAUCCACCUGGCAAUGCAGGCGAUAUGGGUUCGAUCCCUGGGCCAGGAAGAUUCCACAUGCUGCAGAGCAACUAAGCCAAUGUGCCACAGCUACUGAAACGUGUGUGCCUAGAGCCUGUGCUCCACAGCGAGAGAAGCCACUGCAGUAAGAAGCCUGUGAACCGCAACAAAGAGUGGUGUCCAUUCACCACAACUGGAGAAAGCCUGAGCACAGCCAUUAAGACCCAGUGCAACCAAAAACAAAAAAUAAUCAUCAGAAAAGUGCUGGGAACAAUCCAGAGUGUACAAUAAUGCUGCUGUACGCAAAAGGGUCAGGUUGGACCAGAGAGAAAGAUCAGACCUCAGACGGAUCAGAAACGGCUGCAUGAUGAAGG